UCAUGUACCAAAAUGUUCAUUGCAGCUCUAUUUAUAAUAGCCAGGACAUGGAAGCAACCUAAGUGUCCAUCGACAGAUGAAUGGAUAAAGAAGAUGUGGCACAUAUAUACAAUGGAAUAUUACUCAGCCAUAAAAGGAAAUGAAAUUGAGUUAUUUGUAGUGAGGUGGAUGGACCUAGAGUCUGUCAUAUAGAUAAGUCAGAAAGAGAAAAACAACUACCGUAUGCUAACACAUAUAUAUGGAAUCUAAAAAAAAAAAAAAAUGGUAAUGAGGAACCUAGGGGCAAGACGGGAAUAAAGA
Molecule: long non-coding RNA, 300 nt
Organism: Orcinus orca (killer whale)
Lineage: Eukaryota; Metazoa; Chordata; Mammalia; Artiodactyla; Delphinidae
Exons: 2
Source: RefSeq, a predicted model, not a curated record